AGAGUUUGAUCCUGGCUCAGGAUGAACGCUGACAGAAUGCUUAACACAUGCAAGUCUACUUGAUCCUUCGGGUGAUGGUGGCGGACGGGUGAGUAACGCGUAAAGAACUUGCCUUGCAGUCUGGGACAACGUCUGGAAACGGACGCUAAUACCGGAUAUUAUGAUUGAAUCGCAUGAUUUGAUUAUGAAAGCUAUAUGCGCUGCGAGAGAGCUUUGCGUCCCAUUAGGUAGUUGGUGGGGUAACGGCCUACCAAGCCGACGAUCAGUAGCCGGCCUGAGAGGGUGAACGGCCACAUUGGGACUGAGACACGGCCCAGACUCCUACGGGAGGCAGCAGUGGGGAAUAUUGCACAAUGGGCGCAAGCCUGAUGCAGCAACGCCGCGUGAGCGAUGAAGGCCUUCGGGUCGUAAAGCUCUGUCCUCAAGGAAGAUAAUGACGGUACUUGAGGAGGAAGCCCCGGCUAACUACGUGCCAGCAGCCGCGGUAAUACGUAGGGGGCUAGCGUUAUCCGGAUUUACUGGGCGUAAAGGGUGCGCAGGCGGCAUAUCAAGUCUGAAGUGAAAGGUACGGGCUCAACCUGUACAGGCUUUGGAAACUGGUAUGCUCGAGGACAGGAGAGGGCGGUGGAACUCCACGUGUAGCGGUAAAAUGCGUAGAGAUGUGGAAGAACACCAGUGGCGAAGGCGGCCGCCUGGCCUGUAACUGACGCUCAGGCACGAAAGCGUGGGGAGCAAAUAGGAUUAGAUACCCUAGUAGUCCACGCUGUAAACGAUGAAUACUAGGUGUGGGAGGACUGACCCCUUCCGUGCCGCAGUUAACACAAUAAGUAUUCCACCUGGGGAGUACGACCGCAAGGUUGAAACUCAAAGGAAUUGACGGGGGCCCGCACAAGCAGUGGAUUAUGUGGUUUAAUUCGACGCAACGCGAAGAACCUUACCAGGAUUUGACAUCCUACUAACGAAGCAGAGAUGCAUUAGGUGCCCUUCGGGGAAAGUAGAGACAGGUGGUGCAUGGUUGUCGUCAGCUCGUGUCGUGAGAUGUUGGGUUAAGUCCCGCAACGAGCGCAACCCCUAUUGUUAGUUGCUACGCAAGAGCACUCUAGCGAGACUGCCGUUGACAAAACGGAGGAAGGCGGGGACGACGUCAAAUCAUCAUGCCCCUUAUGUCCUGGGCUACACACGUAAUACAAUGGUGGUUAACAGAGGGAAGCAAGACUGCGAAGUGGAGCAAAUCCCUAAAAGCCAUCUCAGUUCGGAUUGCAGGCUGCAACUCGCCUGCACGAAGCUGGAAUCGCUAGUAAU
This 1302-nucleotide ribosomal RNA is filed under the name uncultured bacterium. RNAcentral describes it as "bacterial SSU rRNA". It matches the Rfam family "Bacterial small subunit ribosomal RNA", at positions 8 to 1342 of the family's 1533-position model. The record is from RNAcentral.